Molecule: long non-coding RNA, 962 nt
Organism: Mesocricetus auratus (golden hamster)
Lineage: Eukaryota; Metazoa; Chordata; Mammalia; Rodentia; Cricetidae
Exons: 4
Source: RefSeq, a predicted model, not a curated record
AUAUAAACCCUGUGUAUGUUCAGCUUGGCUGGUCCAGCUGCUUCCUUCAAAUAAACUCCUUCGGUUGAGCUUUGCAUGAAGAUCUUUUGUGGUGGCAGCAGAGCAGAGGCGACCCUGGGCAGAGCAGAGCAGAGUUGGUCCUUGCAGCCAGCUGAAAGCCUCCCAGUCAGUCUGAUAACCUAUACUGAAGCCAGAAUCUCCUGGAAAUCUGCUCUGGUCUCUUCAUUGGCCUCGUUUGUUGUUGGAGAGUUACUAUUCCAGCUGAACCAAAGUCAAGACAACUAGCCAAAAACACGUUUAGUGCUCAAUUUUGUUUUGUAUAACCCUAAUUAUGAUUCAGAAUCUACAUGUCCUCAGUCGGAAACUAGGGAGUAAGAAACAGCUAUACAUCCGUGUUUAUCACCGUAUACUUCACAAUAGACAAGGAGUAGAGAAACCUAAGGAUCCAUCAGGAGGUCACCAUUCUGUUGGAAGUAUCGGGUGAUUCGAAGUGGCACUUUAUUCCCAGGAACUGCCGUUGGCAAAGCUGAGCAAUGCUUUUUUUUUUAAAAACGUGUAUCUACAUUGGGUGUGUUGUUAUUGCCCCUAAGAAGAACAGUGACUAUUACUGAUGAAUCUGCGGCGUGCUGGCGGACGCAGCUGAGCAGCAUGGAUUUGGCCAGUCAAGGUCUGGGAGCCGCUAAGGGCGGAUGAGUGCUCUCUGGAGAAUCGAGCUAGUUUGUCUAGGCUCUGAAAUGCCAGGAGUACCUUGUGUGCCGCUGCAGCUUGGCAGGUGUUCUAACGGUGCUCUCCAGGACUUUCCUUGGUUUUUGUAUAUGGUCCCUAUAAUCCCAACAUGCGUGCUGUUAUUUAUUUUUUUGGAUUGCUAUCUUUACCCAUACAAGCACAUAGUUUACAUAGUUUUACAUAUGCUACUAAUAUAUUUUCUUGAUUCCUUUUUUCUUUUCAUCGAAAAUCUUACC